GUCCUAGCCGUAAACGAUGGGCACUAGGCAAGGGAGGUACCUAUGUCCUUCCUUGCCGUAGCUAAUGUGUUAAGUGCCCCGCCUGGGGAGUACGCUCGCAAGGGUAAAACUCAAAGGAAUUGACGGGGGCUCACACAAGCGGUGGAGCAUGUGGUUUAAUUCGAAGCAACGCGAAGAACCUUACCUGGCCUUGACAUGCAGGAAUUAGUUCCGUGAAAGCGGAAUGACAGCUCUUCGGAGUCGGAAUCUGCACAGGUGUUGCAUGGCUGUCGU
This 273-nucleotide ribosomal RNA is filed under the name uncultured bacterium. Its description in RNAcentral is "partial 16S ribosomal RNA". It matches the Rfam family "Bacterial small subunit ribosomal RNA", at positions 793 to 1055 of the family's 1533-position model. The record is from RNAcentral.